UAUCCGGAUUUAUUGGGCGUAAAGGGCUCGUAGGCGGCUCGUCGCGUCCGGUGUGAAAGUCCAUCGCUUAACGGUGGAUCUGCGCCGGGUACGGGCGGGCUGGAGUGCGGUAGGGGAGACUGGAAUUCCCGGUGUAACGGUGGAAUGUGUAGAUAUCGGGAAGAACACCGAUGGCGAAGGCAGGUCUCUGGGCCGUCACUGACGCUGAGGAGCGAAAGCGUGGGGAGCGAACAGGAUUAGAUACCCUGGUAGUCCACGCCGUAAACGGUGGACGCUGGAUGUGGGGCACGUUCCACGUGUUCCGUGUCGGAGCUAACGCGUUAAGCGUCCCGCCUGGGGAGUACGGCCGCAAGGCUAAAACUCAAAGAAAUUGACGGGGGCCCGCACAAGCGGCGGAGCAUGCGGAUUAAUUCGAUGCAACGCGAAGAACCUUACCUGGGCUUGACAUGUUCCCGACGACGCCAGAGAUGGCGUUUCCCUUCGGGGCGGGUUCACAGGUGGUGCAUGGUCGUCGUCAGCUCGUGUCGUGAGAUGUUGGGUUAAGUCCCGCAACGAGCGCAACCCUCGCCCCGUGUUGCCAGCACGUUAUGGUGGGAACUCACGGGGGACCGCCGGGGUUAACUCGGAGGAAGGUGGGGAUGACGUC
Molecule: ribosomal RNA, 646 nt
Filed under: uncultured bacterium
Lineage: Bacteria
Description: bacterial SSU rRNA
Rfam family: Bacterial small subunit ribosomal RNA
Source: RNAcentral